CACAGAAGCAAUACAUCUCAGUUGAGACGAAUUCUGUCCUAAAGUGUGAGUUCCUGUGUUCCUGCUUACAUGAGACUUUUUUCUCUGUAUCCUAGGCAUGUCCUUCAGGGGGCUGUGACUUCGGGUGCAGUGGGAGAAGGGGCCUUAUCAGCAGGAAACUAUCUCCAGAGUUUCCAGAAAUCUGGAUUAGGAUCUACAGAAAAUGUGGUCUAUCAGGGUGUGGCAAAGACGAUUACAAGAAGGUGCAGCAGAAAGAGAAGGGGAAGCUGAAGAGUGACCUCCAUGGGGAGCAGCGGAGGUGGAGCACGUGCGCCUGGUUUUGGCAUCUAUCCAUGGAUCUACUGAAAGGUGAGCUACUCUAGACAUCAUUUUAUUUUCACGUAAAGCUCUUGAAGAUCAAAAAAACCCGUGAAGAUCCACAAGCCGCUUUUCACACAAUCGAGAGUCCUGGAAUGUCAGAGUUCAAUGAGCAUUGAGAGGGUGCGUUGACAUGCAGAAUGGUGGCUUCUCAGGCCCCGUAACAAACAGAGGGUGAACCAGGAGUGGAGGCAGCCUUCUAUGCAAACACUUCUAGGCAAUGUUGUAAAUAAUACAAUUGUGUAUCAGAAAGAACACAGAUUCUGAA
Long non-coding RNA from Cercocebus atys (sooty mangabey), 625 nucleotides. RefSeq lists it as uncharacterized. The record is from RefSeq and is a predicted model, not a curated record. Lineage: Eukaryota; Metazoa; Chordata; Mammalia; Primates; Cercopithecidae. The transcript has 3 exons.